GCUCGAGUGGCGAACGGGUGAGUAACACGUGAGUAACCUGCUCUUGACUUUGGGAUAACUUCAGGAAACUGGGGCUAAUACCGGAUAGGAGCUCCUGCUGCAUGGUGGGGGUUGGAAAGUUUCGGCGGUUGGGGAUGGACUCGCGGCUUAUCAGCUUGUUGGUGGGGUAAUGGCCUACCAAGGCGGCGACGGGUAGCCGGCCUGAGAGGGUGGACGGCCACAUUGGGACUGAGAUACGGCCCAG
RNAcentral lists this ribosomal RNA (244 nucleotides) under uncultured Actinomycetales bacterium. RNAcentral describes it as "partial 16S ribosomal RNA". It matches the Rfam family "Bacterial small subunit ribosomal RNA", at positions 89 to 334 of the family's 1533-position model. The record is from RNAcentral. Lineage: Bacteria; Bacillati; Actinomycetota; Actinomycetes; Actinomycetales.